UGCAGUCUCUUUCUGGUCCAUCUCCCAGCCGUCUCUCACCCCCCAUCUUUCUCUCUCGGCUGCAUCUCGUCUCUCUCCCCCAUCUUUCUCUCUCGGCCGCAUCUCAUCUCUCUCCCACCACACCGCGCACCACCGGGCGCCGGACACGGCCAGUAUCCGUCUUGCCGCCAGUCGCCGCUAGGUCUCUCUUUCCCGCUGGCUGAUCCAUCCGCCGGUCGCCGACGGCAUGCAGUCCCAUCGGCCGGUGACCGCUGCGCGGGGCUGCUCUGUCCCGGCGGCUGCGCGAGGAUAGCAAUCCCUCCGGCCGGUGACCGCUGCGCGGGGCUGCUCUGUCCCGCCAGCUGCGCGAGGAUAGCAGUCCCUCCGGCCGGUGACCGCCGUUGUGCCUGGCCUACGCUUAUCUGCCGGCCACAGGCAGCUGGGGCUGCGCUGCCCCGCCGGCUGCCAACGCCAGCCGACCUUCAGAUCCGCUGGCUAGGUUGGCUGCCAACAGCCGGCGAGAGUCCCCUCUCCUUCCUCCGGUCCGGUGCACAGGACUGCCGGUGCACAGCUAGGAGUAGCUGCUAGCGGUAUCAGGCAGGUUCCCCUCAUCUCUGCUCUAAAUUGGCUGCUCUAUCUCUCUCUACUCUGUUGCUUCGGACCACCAGCUGCCAGUCUACUCGCACUCAAGUCACUGCCCACCCACCAGCAGAGCCGUACAGUGUUGGAGUGAGUGCGGACGGACGCGACUGCGUGGCGAUGGGACACCACCUCAGCACGCAGAGGCCUCCUCUCAUCUCCAUGGAUGGCGCAUGCCGUUCCCUCGCGUACGUCGUCAACCGGCCGGCGGCCACGAGUAUAAAUUCACCCGUGCGCAACGCGACGCCGGGGAGAUCCAAGGUCAAGACAUGGCAGGAAAUGACAUUAUGAAGGAGUUGGCAGCUUCACAACACCACUGGAUUACAGAUCAAGAACUCAUAAGUGUCAAUGAUUAGUGUGCUGUUAAUUUAUCCCAUUUCAGAUUGGCAAAUAAAGAGACGGUUUAAAUAAUAGUAGAAUGAUAUGACAUUGUUCAUAGUUAAGACAUUACAGAAUAUGACAUUGUGCUGUAGUGGGUAGGUUCACCACACCACUGGAUUACGGAUGAAGAAUAGAAACAUACAUGCAGUGCAAAAGAAGAUCACUUGCUCUGUAUAGUUUAAUUUACAUGGUAUGAAGAAGGAACUUGGUUGUACAACUGAAAACUUAAAUUGAGAAGGACAAACUUUUGUUUAUGAACUACAUAAUAAACUUUAAACAUGCAAUUUGAUGCAAACACCAAAAAUAAACAGCUGUUGCAGUCAUGCCUAACCAAAUAUACACAACAAAGUUUGAAGGCUUGAGAAGGAUAAACAUACAUUAUUGGUGAAUACAUGCUCUAUAAAGCCCUUGUCUAUGCUGAUGGGGGGGCAAUUCAAGAAGUUUACCAUAGAAUCUUCUUCAUAAGCAUUGCCUUUAUUCUACAUUUUGUUAAGAGUAAAUAUAGAUGUGAUAAUAUACGAAAAAAUGGAGAAUAUUUAAGAUAAGAUGAAGAGUGAUGCUACAUAACCAAGUAGCUAUAAAUGUAAGUGCAGCGAUACAGGCAAAAG
Molecule: RNA transcript, 1607 nt
Organism: Triticum aestivum (bread wheat)
Lineage: Eukaryota; Viridiplantae; Streptophyta; Magnoliopsida; Poales; Poaceae
Exons: 3
Source: RefSeq, a predicted model, not a curated record